AGCCUUCUGUAUCUGCUGAGAUUUCGUCACACACUAGACCACAACGGCUGAUGAGACUUCCAAGAUAAGUAAAGUG
Molecule: microRNA precursor, 76 nt
Filed under: Schistosoma mattheei
Lineage: Eukaryota; Metazoa; Platyhelminthes; Trematoda; Strigeidida; Schistosomatidae
Description: mir-3492 microRNA precursor family
Rfam family: mir-3492 microRNA precursor family
Source: Rfam by way of RNAcentral